AGAGUUUGAUCAUGGCUCAGGAUGAACGCUAGCGGCAGGCUUAACACAUGCAAGUCGAGGGGCAGCGCGGAGGUAGCAAUACCACUGGCGGCGACCGGCGCACGGGUGCGUAACGCGUAUGCAACCUGCCCCAAACAGGGGGAUAACUCGGUGAAAACCGAACUAAUACCCCAUAUAGACGCCGAUUCACAUGUUUUGGCGUCGAAAGCUCCGGCGGUUUGGGAUGGGCAUGCGUGGCAUUAGGUAGUUGGCGGGGCAACGGCCCACCAAGCCGACGAUGUCUAGGGGAGCUGAGAGGCUUAUCCCCCACACCGGUACUGAGACACGGACCAGACUCCUACGGGAGGCAGCAGUGAGGAAUAUUGGUCAAUGGACGGAAGUCUGAACCAGCCAUGCCGCGUGAAGGAAGACGGCCCUAUGGGUUGUAAACUUCUUUUGCCGCAGAGUAAUAAGGGCCCUGCGGGGUCCGAUGAGAGUAUGCGGCGAAUAAGCAUCGGCUAACUCCGUGCCAGCAGCCGCGGUAAUACGGAGGAUGCGAGCGUUAUCCGGAUUUAUUGGGUUUAAAGGGUGCGCAGGCGGACAGCUAAGUCAGCGGUGAAAUAUCCCGGCUCAACCGGGAGGCUGCCGUUGAUACUGGCUGACUCGAGUCCAAACGGCGCCGGCGGAAUAUGUAAUGUAGCGGUGAAAUGCAUAGAUAUUACAUAGAACACCGAUCGCGAAGGCAGCUGGCGAGGAUGGCACUGACGCUGAGGCACGAAGGCGUGGGGAUCAAACAGGAUUAGAUACCCUGGUAGUCCACGCAGUAAACGAUGAUAACUUGUUGUCGGCGAUAGACGGCCGGUGACAAAGUGAAAGCGUUAAGUUAUCCACCUGGGGAGUACGAUCGCAAGGUUGAAACUCAAAGGAAUUGACGGGGGCCCGCACAAGCGGAGGAGCAUGUGGUUUAAUUCGAUGAUACGCGAGGAACCUUACCUAGACUCAAAUGUAGGACGGCAGGCCCAGAGAUGGGCCCUUCCUUCGGGACGGCCUACAAGGUGCUGCAUGGUUGUCGUCAGCUCGUGCCGUGAGGUGUCAGGUUAAGUCCUAUAACGAGCGCAACCCCUACGUCCAGUUGCCAGCGGGUGAGGCCGGGGACUCUGGACGGACUGCCGGCGCAAGCCGAGAGGAAGGUGGGGAUGACGUCAAAUCAGCACGGCCCUUACGUCUAGGGCGACACACGUGCUACAAUGGCCGGUACAGAGGGCAGCUACACUGCGAAGUGAUGCGAAUCUCGAAAGCCGGUCUCAGUUCGGAUCGGAGUCUGCAACCCGACUCCGUGAAGUUGGAUUCGCUAGUAAUCGCGCAUCAGCCAUGGCGCGGUGAAUACGUUCCCGGGCCUUGUACACACCGCCCGUCAAGCCAUGAAAGCCGGGGGCGCCUGAAGUCCGUGACCGAGAGGAGCGGCCUAGGGUGAAACUGGUAAUUGGGGCUAAGUCGUAACAAGGUAACC
RNAcentral lists this ribosomal RNA (1489 nucleotides) under uncultured bacterium. RNAcentral's name for it is "bacterial SSU rRNA". It matches the Rfam family "Bacterial small subunit ribosomal RNA". The record is from RNAcentral.